This 248-nucleotide long non-coding RNA is filed under the name Gossypium raimondii (Peruvian cotton). Its description in RNAcentral is "long non-coding RNA (GRAI_LNC011112)". Lineage: Eukaryota; Viridiplantae; Streptophyta; Magnoliopsida; Malvales; Malvaceae. The record is from RNAcentral.
UGGUUAUCAAAUAUUAUGUUCAUCUUUUUUUUUCCUUUUUUACUUUCCUAAAAAUCCCUCCACCCUCUUGCCGUUUUUUGCUCUCUUUCACCCUUCAUCUUCUUGAUUUUUCUUUUCCCACUCUGCCUCAUGUUGUUCCACGUUUGUCUAUAACCGUUCGGUAAGUUUUAGAUAAAUGAUUUGUCUCUGUUUGUUAACUUUUUUCUGAAGUGUUUUUUAAGCCAAUUAGGGGAGGAUUCAAGGGCUCG